UAAGCAUAUCAAUAAGCGGAGGAAAAGAAACCAACCGGGAUUGCCUCAGUAACGGCGAGUGAAGCGGCAAGAGCUCAAAUUUGAAAGCUGGCCCCUUCGGGGUCCGCGUUGUAAUUUGCAGAGGAUGCUUCGGGUGCGGCCCCUGUCUAAGUGCCCUGGAACGGGCCGUCAGAGAGGGUGAGAAUCCCGUCUUGGGCAGGGUGCCCGUGCCCGUGUGAAGCUCCUUCGACGAGUCGAGUUGUUUGGGAAUGCAGCUCUAAAUGGGUGGUAAAUUUCAUCUAAAGCUAAAUACCGGCCGGAGACCGAUAGCGCACAAGUAGAGUGAUCGAAAGAUGAAAAGCACUUUGAAAAGAGAGUUAAACAGCACGUGAAAUUGUUGAAAGGGAAGCGCUUGCGACCAGACUCGGCCCCGGGGUUCAGCCAGCACUCGUGCUGGUGUACUUCCCCGGGGGCGGGCCAGCGUCGGUUUGGGCGGCCGGUCAAAGGCCCCAGGAAUGUAUCGCCCUCCGGGGUUGUCUUAUAGCCUGGGGUGCAAUGCGGCCAGCCCGGACCGAGGAACGCGCUUCGGCACGGACGCUGGCGUAAUGGUCGCAAACGACCCGUCUUGAAACACGGACCAAGGAGUCUAACAUCUACGCGAGUGUUCGGGUGUCAAACCCGUGCGCGCAGUGAAAGCGAACGGAGGUGGGAGCCCCCCCGGGGCGCACCAUCGACCGAUCCUGAUGUCUUCGGAUGGAUUUGAGUAAGAGCGUAGCUGUGGGGACCCGAAAGAUGGUGAACUAUGCCUGAAUAGGGCGAAGCCAGAGGAAACUCUGGUGGAGGCUCGCAGCGGUUCUGACGUGCAAAUCGAUCGUCAAAUUUGGGUAUAGGGGCGAAAGACUAAUCGAACCAUCUGGUAGCUGGUUCCUGCCGAAGUU
RNAcentral lists this ribosomal RNA (917 nucleotides) under Aspergillus nidulans. RNAcentral's name for it is "LSU rRNA". It matches the Rfam family "Eukaryotic large subunit ribosomal RNA", at positions 35 to 968 of the family's 3401-position model. Lineage: Eukaryota; Fungi; Ascomycota; Eurotiomycetes; Eurotiales; Aspergillaceae. The record is from RNAcentral.